AGGAAUGGCAGAGUGGUUUAUUGUACCAGACUGAUAAUCUGGCGUACAUGUAUGUGUACCGAGGGUUCGAAUCCCUCUUCCUCCG
This 85-nucleotide transfer RNA is filed under the name Alistipes sp. RNAcentral's name for it is "tRNA-Ile". It matches the Rfam family "tRNA". From Rfam's summary of the family: Transfer RNA (tRNA) molecules are approximately 80 nucleotides in length. Their secondary structure includes four short double-helical elements and three loops (D, anti-codon, and T loops). The record is from RNAcentral. Lineage: Bacteria; Pseudomonadati; Bacteroidota; Bacteroidia; Bacteroidales; Rikenellaceae.